Molecule: ribosomal RNA, 253 nt
Filed under: uncultured bacterium
Lineage: Bacteria
Description: partial 16S ribosomal RNA
Rfam family: Bacterial small subunit ribosomal RNA
Source: RNAcentral
UACAGAGGCCUCGAGCGUUGUUCGGAAUUACUGGGCGUAAAGGGAGUGUAGGUGGUGACGUAAGUCAGAUGUGAAAGCCCUGGGCUUAACCCGGGAAGUGCAUUUGAUACUGCGUUGCUAGAGUGCGAGAGAGGAAAGUGGAAUUCCAAGUGUAGGGGUGAGAUCCGUAGAUAUCGGGAGGAACACCAGUGGCGAAGGCGGUUGCCUGGAGCUUUGCUGACGCUGAUGCGCGAAAGCGUGGGGAGCGAUCCGG